RNAcentral lists this transfer RNA (69 nucleotides) under Neoglyphea inopinata. RNAcentral's name for it is "tRNA-Gln". RNAcentral also lists the same sequence under 1 other name. The record is from RNAcentral. Lineage: Eukaryota; Metazoa; Arthropoda; Malacostraca; Decapoda; Glypheidae.
UACAGACUGAUGUAUAGGGCAUAUAAAGUUUUGAUCUUUAAAGUAUUGGUGUAAAUCCAUUGUGUGUAG